Molecule: ribosomal RNA, 422 nt
Filed under: uncultured bacterium
Lineage: Bacteria
Description: bacterial SSU rRNA
Rfam family: Bacterial small subunit ribosomal RNA
Source: RNAcentral
UAAGGAAUAUUGGUCAAUGGACGCAAGUCUGAACCAGCCAUGCCGCGUGGAGGAUGAAGGUCCUCUGGAUUGUAAACUUCUUUUAUCUGGGACGAAACACUUCUUUUCUAAGAGGCCUGACGGUACCAGAUGAAUAAGCACCGGCUAACUCCGUGCCAGCAGCCGCGGUAAUACGGAGGGUGCAAGCGUUAUCCGGAUUCACUGGGUUUAAAGGGUGCGUAGGUGGGUAUGUAAGUCAGUGGUGAAAUCCCCGAGCUUAACUUGGGAACUGCCAUUGAUACUAUAUAUCUUGAAUACCGUAGAGGUAAGCGGAAUAUGUCAUGUAGCGGUGAAAUGCUUAGAUACGACAUGGAACACCAAUUGCGAAGGCAGCUUACUAUGCGGUGAUUGACACUGAGGCACGAAAGCGUGGGUAGCAAACA